RNAcentral lists this ribosomal RNA (356 nucleotides) under uncultured Thermus sp. Its description in RNAcentral is "bacterial SSU rRNA". It matches the Rfam family "Bacterial small subunit ribosomal RNA", at positions 1025 to 1382 of the family's 1533-position model. Lineage: Bacteria; Thermotogati; Deinococcota; Deinococci; Thermales; Thermaceae. The record is from RNAcentral.
AGCCCUAGCACAGGUGCUGCAUGGCCGUCGUCAGCUCGUGCCGUGAGGUGUUGGGUUAAGUCCCGCAACGAGCGCAACCCCCGCCGUUAGUUGCCAGCGGUUCGGCCGGGCACUCUAACGGGACUGCCCGCGAAAGCGGGAGGAAGGAGGGGACGACGUCUGGUCAGCAUGGCCCUUACGGCCUGGGCGACACACGUGCUACAAUGCCCACUACAAAGCGAUGCCACCCGGCAACGGGGAGCUAAUCGCAAAAAGGUGGGCCCAGUUCGGAUUGGGGUCUGCAACCCGACCCCAUGAAGCCGGAAUCGCUAGUAAUCGCGGAUCAGCAUGCCGCGGUGAAUACGUUCCCGGGCCUU